Molecule: unclassified non-coding RNA, 310 nt
Filed under: plant metagenome
Description: partial contains 5.8S ribosomal RNA, internal transcribed spacer 2, and large subunit ribosomal RNA
Rfam family: 5.8S ribosomal RNA (bases 1-105)
Source: RNAcentral
GAAAUGCGAUAAGUAGUGUGAAUUGCAGAAUUCAGUGAAUCAUCGAAUCUUUGAACGCACAUUGCGCCCCUUGGUAUUCCAUGGGGCAUGCCUGUUCGAGCGUCAUUUGUACCCUCAAGCUCUGCUUGGUGUUGGGUGUUUGUCCCCGUCUCCGCGCGUGGACUCGCCCCAAAGUGAUUGGCAGCCGGCGUACUGGUCCCGGAGCGCAGCACAUGUCGCGCAAACGAGUGCCUUGGUACGGCGGCGUCCAUAAGCCCCUCUCUCACGCUCUUGACCUCGGAUCAGGUGAGGAUAACCGCUGAACUUAAGC